UGCCUCUGUACCAGAGGCAGCAGCAUAGGGUGGCAGUUAGCUCCCCUGAAGCUGACGCAUGCCAAGAGCCAGCUUAAAACCUGGCUCCCAUUACGUACCAGUUCCUUGCUCCCAUCCUGUUCCCAGGGAGCUGGCUGCUGCCCUGCAAUGCAGGCUCUGGUACAGAGCCAGCAGUGAGGGGUGGCAGCUUGUGUAUAAUCAUUCACGGUAACCAAGAAACCCUAUAUUCUUAUCAGUUAACCGUGUAAACAGUUAUCCUAUUACAGCUCUAAUACGUAUAUGCUGUCAAAAAAGGGAAAGAAGAAAUAAAGCAAGAAAAUUAUUUGAAGAACCAAUAUUAACAUACAUACAGAACAAGUUAAUAGUAUCUGCAAUUACAAACAUUGCCGAUACAAUACAAUGUACAAUUGUAGCAAAAAUGUAUAUUUUAAUAUUGAUUAUAAGAUUAUAAGUAUGACACCUUUAUAAGCAUAACACAAUUUCUUAUUACAAUUAGAAAUAAGAAUUAAACAAUAAUCUAAUUUCUUCAUUAAAACAAGUUCCUCUUGAACCUACACUUUCUCCUAAGAAGCAGGGUAGAGAUAAGAGAAGGCAACAGAGUGCAGAAGAAGAUGGGAAAGUUAAAUGGAUUUAAUGUGGCACACCUGAAGGGACAAAAGAGAAUGAACAGGAGUGGGUAAGUGAGAAUGGAAAAGUGAGAGGUAAGAGAGAAUAAGAAGCUGUUGUGGGGUAGAUGUAAUGUUCUUCUGGAAGGGACAUGUGUUCGUGAAGUAAGAGUGGAUCUUUUUAAAGGACACAAAGAGCAGAAACAAAAGUACAAUGUGUGGGGGUAUUGAGAAAUGGGGACUGGGAUGAAAGAACAGAAGAUAGCAACUUUUGAGUGAAGCAGCAGAAGCAUGGGACAUUUGUUGAGGACAGAUAACAGAGAGUGGCAACUGAGUGUGUUUAAGAGGACAGGAAAGAAAAGGGCCUUUGAAAAGUCUUUUGAAAGUAUAAGGUGGACACUCUCUCUUAUGUCUCCCAAAUCUUUAUGUUGUAGGGCAGUGGCACUCAGCCUUUCUGGACUACCUUAUCUCUUUCAGCAGUCUGAUUUGUCUUACAUACCCUCAACUUUCACCUCAUUUAAAAACUACUUGCUUACACAAUCAGAUAUAAAAUGUCACAGCACAUUCUGAUUCUCUCAUUUUACCAUAGAACUAUAUAACUAAAUAAACUGGAGUAUAAAUAUUUUACUUUCAUUUCAGUGUAUAAUAUAUAAAGAAGUUUAAACAAGUCAUUGGAUGAAAUUUUAGUUUGUAUUGAGUUAACUAAUGUUUUUUAUUUAACCAGUUCUAGAACAAGGUAACUAUUUAGAAGAAUUAAGGUACCUUCUGGAAUAUUUCCACAUAUUUCCGGUUAAGAACCACUGUUUGAGGCAUUAUAAAAAAGUAUACAAAAGAAUUCAAAGAAAAAAUUGAUUUGAGCUCUUUUGUGAGCCCUGACAUGAUAAAAAAGUUUUAAAGUGUCCCUUCCAAAAAAAAUCUGAUUACUUUAUUACAUCUGAAAUUUAUAUUUUUAUCUACCCUGAAAUAUUUUAUAGUAGACUAGCAACUAGAGCAGCAGAAAGACAUCAUACAUACCCAAGCAAGCAAAACCAGAGGGAUUUUUAUUCUGACUGUUUAAAACCUUGUUUGGUUGUUGUUGUUUUGAUAGAGCCUAUUUAAAUAUAACUCUUGGGAGAAAAACUUGUUUUGUUUGUUAAGAACACAACACUUCCACCCCUUCAAUUAAAGGCUGGAAAAGCUCCCAAUGCACAUCUGAGUCAUCAACACAGCCCUCCAACAAGAAGAAAAAGAUAAGACGUGACAUUUCUGAUAUUUCUAAGGGAGAAAAAGCAACAGAAAAAUGGUUGAGGGUGAAAUAACCAUCAAGCUUCCUCUAUAAGCUUCCUUAACUCAGGGCUUGCCGUUUUCUGUUUUACCUGAUAAACACAAUAAAACACCCGCAAAAAAAGAAAUGAAAUUGGUGUUUACCCAAAAACCACCAGAAAUACUUAUAUCUCCAGCCUUGUCUAUCCAGAGCAGUAAAUGCAGACUAUGACAUAUUGGGAAACAUGACAGCAUUAUUACAGCAUAGUGAAGGGGAUUACCCUCUCACAGGCACCCCUUUGUGGCUGAAGGUGUAACUGCAACUUCGCUGCACUGACUGGCUCUGGGAGUGGAAGUGUUCCAGAUGGCUUUUCUGGCUUAAUUCUUGGCUCCAUCACAGACUUUAUGAGCGAGCUCAGGUCAUCAUAUUUCAGCCAGUUCUGGUAACACAGGGAAAAAUCGUGAGUUAUGCUUUUGUUGACUGUUCUCAUCAGAGCCUUCAGCUUUGUUUUUUAGAUCUAGAGCCAGAUAUACAGAGGUAUUUGGGUGCCUGAAGAGGCAGACACAUGCCCAAUCUGCUUUGCACUCCAGAAAACUCCAGAUGUCUAACUCCCAUUACAAAUCAAAUGAAAGUGUUUGUAAAUCUAAGCCAUUAACACCUCCUUAUUUUGCUGCACGGAGCAGCUCCAUUUAGCAGCUUCUUGACAAUGUCCCACGCAUCAGCUGAACUCCCUGCCUGUAAGGCUCAAGCCGCAGUAUAGGCUCCCUGCUUCAUAGAAGAGGGAGGGAGGGAUGGGACUGAGCUCCCUCCCACACGCCAAUGAAAAUCGGCACUGAGCUUGCACCGUAGGUUGCCAACCUGUUUUAUGAUUUUAUGAAAAUUAGGAUUAUGAAAGGGAGACUUCUCCAAAUUAUUUGAAUUAAAUGCAAUUGGAAGACUAGAUCUUAACUCCAUCUUGUUUGUGACAUGUUUAAUUCUAUUCACCCCCCUCACAUGGACUUCUCAGAUGACCUCUUCUUACUAGAUCCCAGGAUAAGAAAUGAAAUGGCAAAAAAGCUUAAUUAAACACUAAGUUAAGGUGCCUGCUAAUAACUUAUGUUUUUCCAGGUCGUCAAGCUCAGAAAAACUCAUAUCAAAAUCGUUACUUGUUUCAUAUGCUCAUGCUCAUUCCACUAGUGUGGCAAAGCUCUGACCAUGCCCCGUGGGUCCUGCAUUUCUGCUGGACAUUGUUUGCCUGAGAGGCGUGGUAUGACCCUCCACCCAGCCCCCUGCGCUUUACUAGAGGCAAGGAUUACAGCCUACUGAGCCUCUCUCAUCACAGGCUUGGCCAUAGUAUGGGGUGUAACCCCUGCACAGUCCUGUUCUCCCCUCUCAGGGGCAGAUUCUGCAGUGAAGUGGGAAGAAUUGGGGAGGACCCAGGCCAGGGACCCUAAGGGAACAGCAACAGACAGGGUUUGUUCUGCUCCCAGUCUGACAACUAUUUUCCUGAGCCACUUCGCCCAACAAUCCCUCCUGGUACCUUUCCUCUGCUACCUGAGCAAGCCUGCCCUGCUCCUCCAUGGCACUCUACCUUACUUGCAGACCCCAACUUUCACUCAGAUACUUCUUACUCUCAGAUCUUAGGCUCCUUCCAUUCUCCAAACUCCUCAUGCACUUUCAAUUAACUGCAGAGGAGCUCUUUUUAACCUGUCUCAGCUGAUUCUUAAUUGACCCAGGUGCUCUGAUUACACUCCAGAAACUUCCCAAUUGUCUCUAUAUGCUUCAGUUGGCCUGACUGAUUCCAGAAGGUUCCUUCUGGUUCAGGGUUAGCCCUUUGUAGUUCACCCUGGGUACAGAGACUAACUCAAUCUUGGGCUAACGUACUUUCCUUCUACCACUCUCCUGUACCUCUGUGGCCUGACACAGUCACACUGGAAAGUCCGACAGUGGGGAAGCAGGGUAGGUCAUGGAAUAAACAUAAGCAACACAUCUCUAAGAACACUGGUUACAGAACAGGUAACUGUCUUUUCUUUUCAAGUGCUUGCUCAUGUCCAUUCUAUAUUAGGUUACUCCAAGCAGUACCCAUGCAAGCCAUGUAGCUUGUAGUACAGCUCUGCUGAAUCCAACAUUAUCUAUGACCGGCUGAGUGAUGGCAUAAAUGAGACUGAGUGGCAUAACAUGUAGACUGAGGACUAAAUCACAUUCUUUAGAAGUCCUGGAUCGGGAUGUGUGCCAGAAAAGCUUCCAAAGACGCCUAUGCUCUAGUUGAAUGUGCUUGGACAAUCAGCAGUGAUGGACCUUUGCCAACACUUUAUGCAAGAGCUGAUCCAGAUGGAAAUUCUCUGCGAAGAAACUGGAAGGCCUUCAUCCUAUCCGCUAUAGCGAUUAAGAGCUGGGUCAAUUUGCAAAAAGGCUUGAUACCCUCCAAGUAAAAGGCAAAGGUCCUUUGGAUGUCCAGGGUGUGCAGACACCUCUUCUCUGUGGUUUUGUGCAGAACACAGGCAGGAAUAUGUAUUGGUUCACAUGGGAGGAAGACACCAUUGCAAGAAAGCCAGGUGGGGCUGCAGCUGGACCCAAUCCUCAUAAAAAACCAUCUAUGGCAGUUCCCAGGUCAAGGCUUUGAUCUCCUGAUCUCCCAGACUAGUCUCACCACCAGGAAAGUGACCUUCCAAGACAAGCGGGAUAGGGAACAGUUGACCAACGGCUUGAACGGUGGGCAGGUUAGUCUGGAGAGGACCAGGUUAAGAUCCCACUGCAGAACAGGGGCUCGCACCUGCAGGUAAAGCCUCUUGAGAGCCUUCAGGAAUCUUUCAUGUCAUGAGAAAAUACUAACUGACCUUGUAUCAUUUGGUGGAAUGUAGAGACAGCUGGAAGGUGCGAUCUGACAGAAUCUUGUGCUAGACUGGGGUGGGCAAUAAUUUUUACCCGGGGGCCACUUCAAAAAUUUUUGAAGUAGUC
This is a non-coding RNA of Pelodiscus sinensis (Chinese soft-shelled turtle), 4785 nucleotides long. The record is from RefSeq and is a predicted model, not a curated record. NCBI's taxonomy places the organism in Eukaryota, Metazoa, Chordata, Testudines, Trionychidae.